AUGGAUUACAUAUCCCCUGAGAGAAGUCUGGAUGGGACUUGUGGAGACCCUGGUCCUUUAUUUGGAGAUCAAGAUGGUUGCUUGUUGGAGCACAUGGACUAUCAUGGUGAAGGAAUUACACAACCUGAAUCCCCACCACUGAAUGAUGGACUUUUAGUUGACGCAGCCGAUCAAAUUUCAUAUUUGUCUGCAGAUUCUGUACCCUAUAUGAAUGAUCAGAUCAUGUGCAAUACAAUGAAAUCCGCUUCAACUAGUCCAGCAUCUCCCCUGAAGCAAGACGAGGAACAUCAUGUGCAUAUAGAAUCUGAUAUGCAAAACGAUGCAGCUGAACGGAAAGUUCACCAUAAUGAUGACUGUGAAGUACGUACCACUUCUUCGGGUUAUGAUGUGCAUCAGAAUACAGAAGUGGUUGAAGGUGUGCUUCCUCCAGAGCUUCAUGAAAGCAGUGGUAAUGAUAUAUCAAACUUUCAACAAGAAACUACACAUUCUGAUGCCUAUCUUGGUGACUCUAUGUUAGCUGAUAAUAGCAGUAGGGAUUAUCAAUUUAGCAAUAGCGGUGAUGAUGAUGAUGAUGAAAUUCCAAACUCUUCUGCGCCUCAGAUGGGAAAUAAGGACAACAGAAAGUUACAUGAGACUUUUCACAAUGAAGUGAAUGGGACAGAGGAUGAUCAAAUGAAUGGUGGGAAUUCUAAUCCUCAUGAUGAACAUGACAAUGAGAACUUCAACUCUGCAAUUGCACCUUCCUAUUUGGAUGGGAUGGAGCAGGAAGAUCCUGGUACCGAGAAUGGCAUUUCUACGCCUGGCAAUCAGUGGGAUUCUCCACCUGAAAGGUCUGCAGGACUAGAGAAGGGCACACCAUCACCAGCCAGGAGGGUCUCACUUUCAGUAGAAAGGUCACCUCAUGCUCAUUCAUCUGAGAAACUGGACUCACCACAUCAUGCAAAAGAGGGUGAUAAUUUGGCUGACUCUCGAAGCCCACCAGCAAGACAUCGGUCCCGAUCUCCUGGAUCUCCUGAAAACCAUGACACCAACCGUAGAAGAGCUCCCUCACAUGAGUUGUCUCCACAUGCACGGGAUAACUCUCCAGAAAGAAAAGCACAAUCUCGGCGUGGAGAUGGGUCACCGCGCCGAAGAUCUACAUCCCCUGGAAGAAGAGAUGGGUCACCGCAGCGAAGAUCAGCUUCCCCUAAAAGAAGAGAUGGGUCACCGCGACGAAGAUCAGCUUCCCCUAGAAGAAGACAUGGUUCACCACGCCGAAGAUCUGCAUCCCCUAAAAGAAGAGAUGGGUCACCUCGCAGAAGAUCUCCAUCCCCCAAAAGAAGACACGGGUCACCACGACAAAGAUCUCCAUCCCCUAAAAGGAGGCAUGGGUCACCACGGCGAAGAUCUCCAUCCCCUAAAAGGAGGCAUGGGUCACCGCGGCGAAGAUCUCCAUCUCCUAAAAGAAGAGCCUCGCCCAAGAGGAGGGGUUCACCAAGGAGGAGGGAUUCCCCAACAAGGAGGGAUUCCUCUCCAAGAAGGAGAGACUCACCAAGAAAGAGAGAUUCCUCACCAAGGAGGAGGGAUUCCCCAACAAGGAGGGAUUCCUCUCCAAGAAGGAGAGACUCGCCAAGAAAGAGAGAUUCCUCUCCAAGGAGGAGGGAAUCCCCAACAAGAAAGAGGGACUCCCCAACAAGGAAGAGAGAUAGAUCAAAAUCAAGGUCACCAUCAAGGAAAACUGAUUCCUCUAGACAUAAAAGGGAGCAUGGUAGAUCUCGAUCAAGGUCUCCACACUCUAGGAAUCACCAUAGAAGAUCUCCAAGAAGAAGGCAUUCACCAAGGCACAGAUCACCUCCAGCAAGGCAUCAUUCUCCUAAAAGAUGUUGGUCACCACCUGCCAACAGGAAGACUGGAUUGGGUAAGCCUGGGCGGAAUCUGUUUGUUGCAGGUUUUAGCUAUGCCACCACAGAGCGAGAGUUGGAGAAGAAAUUUGCAAAGUUUGGACGUGUAACAAGGGUGCGGGUUGUCCGAGAUAAACGAACUGGAGAUUCUCGAGGCUUUGGGUUUUUAUCCCUGGAGAAGGAUGAGGACGCUGAUGCAGCAAUCCGAGCUUGCGACGAGACUGAGUGGAAUGGUAGGAUCAUUCUUGUGGAGAAGUCCAAGGCACCUGCAUGGGCCCUGCUGCUGAUAAAGAGGGAGUUAGCGGUACACAUUGUAAUAUCUGCAACCUCUACUACACAUUCAUGA
RNAcentral lists this ribosomal RNA (2226 nucleotides) under Triticum aestivum (bread wheat). RNAcentral's name for it is "partial small subunit ribosomal RNA". The record is from RNAcentral. Lineage: Eukaryota; Viridiplantae; Streptophyta; Magnoliopsida; Poales; Poaceae.